This is a long non-coding RNA of Cyprinus carpio carpio, 2575 nucleotides long. The record is from Ensembl. NCBI's taxonomy places the organism in Eukaryota, Metazoa, Chordata, Actinopteri, Cypriniformes, Cyprinidae.
GGCCCCAUGAAAGAAAAAAAGGCUUAAAAAUAAUAGUUUGUUUAAUACGGCAAUUUUUUUUUUUUUUUUUUCAUUAAAUAAAAACCUUUUUAGACAAAUUUUGUAAUCAUUGUGUAAAAUUAGCUACAGGGCAAUCGUGAGAAUCUGCUGUAAAAUAUGUAAUUUUCCACGAUCGGAGGAUUCGGAGCAUGUUUCAUGAAAUGACAUGGCUAAAAACCACGAGAAAGUUACACCAUGUGUGCAUUUGGGGUUUUCCGUGUUAUAACUCGAUGAAGUUACGAGCGAAAAUGCUACAUGACAGCUACCUUACAUUUUUUUUUUUUUUUACUAAACUACAUGCCACCAGUGCAGUUUUAUGUGUUAUAAAUUACUGAGGAAUAUCUUUAGAUAUAAAUGACGGAUUCUUAUGGGCUGCGUCGGAUGAUAUCAUUUAUGAUGAAAUGAUGAUAUCAUUUACUCCAUUUAGCAGCGCGUCAUGGCAACAAAAUAACGUUAAGCCAACAACAAAAAUACAAAGAGGCGACUUGAUAAAUUCACUGAAUUAGUUCCUUCGCUCUAACAGUCUACAAACCGAGACAGAUGGCAUGUAAGGCUGUUGCCCACCGGAAAGACUUUCACUGGAGAGUUAGACUUUGAACCCUGACAGCAGCUGACUUCACCUCAAAUGGAGUGUGCUGCUCAUUCAGAUGAAAAAAUGUUAGGACCUGUAGUGGCUAUGACCUUCCAGAAUCUGACUGUAAGUGCCUGUGAGGACCUGCAGUGGCAACUUCACUGUGACAACAUUUAGACCUUGAGAGAAAACGAGAUGGAAACCAUAAUGGCUAUAUUUCAGCUGGUUUACCUGGCUGGGGUACUGCUUUAAUUGGGACUGGCAUUGAUUGGAAUUGUUGGUGCAUUGAUUGCUAUUUGGUUUCCUCAUCGAAACAGGUCAAGUGGUUAAAGAUCUGGACUGUUAACCAUAAUUUAACCAUUAUGCCAUUGUCACUUACUGUUGCACUUAUCUAUCAUUUUACUGUUUUAAUAGCAUUUAGCAUAUCACAGCAUUAAGAUUCUAGUGCUAGUUUUUAUUUUUUUAAUCCAAAAGUAAUUUUGAUACUGUCUUGUGGUACAUCCAAGGCAGAACAACUGUGAGGAGGGCACUGACACAAAAAUGAAAAGUUACAUUAUCAGUUAUUGUCGUAAGAAUAAUUAAAAAUUAAUAAGUUUUAAUAUAACUCUAUAAUGUGUAUAUAUAAACCAUAAAUAUACUAACUACAUGUACCCCUUUUUUCUUGGAAAAUAUUAGUAAAUGUCCCAUUCUAUCUCAUUAUGGUGAUGAUGUUAAAACCUAGAGAGAUUACUGAGCUGACAUAAUUAGUAUGCAAAUUAAGGUAAAUGAUAUUUUUAAGUUCUACUUAUCAAGCACUCAUUAUAUGGACAUUAAGGGGGACAUGUAUGUUUAGUGUGUACAGUACUCUACCUGCAGAGCUACCCUAAAAGCUAUGUCAAAGGCAAAGUGUGGUCAUUUAUUUUUAUUUUUUUCAAAGAUUUUGGGUCUCACUUUAUAUUAAGUGGCCUUAACUACUAUGUGCUUACAUCAAAAAAAUAAGUACAGUCUACUUAUUGUGUUCAUAUUGUAUUGCAAAACACUUUUGCUGCCACUGAGGUGGGAUACGGGUAAGGUUAGGGACAGGUUUGGUGGUAUGGGUAGGUGUAAGGGAUGGGUCAACAAUAUAAUUAUAAAUAUUUAUGUACACAAUAAGUGCAUUGUCCCAAUUUAUUUAUUUAAAUGUAAGUACAUAGUAGUUAAGGCCACUUAAUAUAAAGUGGGACCGGAUUUUGCACAGUACUGUAUAUUUGACUUUUUAUAGGACUAGGAUAAACGUACAUGUAUAAAUAUAUAUAAAUAGCAUGGCACAUAGUUCUUGAAAAAGUCGAUAAAUGUGUGUAAGGAAGAGAGUAAACAUCUAUUCAGACAUUGACUUUUUUUAUACUUGUUGAGGUUCAAUAUCUCCUCUCAGUGGCUAGGGCUUAUGUAAAGUAACUGUAACACCGGAGCAAGGUUUUGCAUCGUCGCUGUGGAAGCAAAAUGCAGUGAAAUGCUGUGCCAGUGAGUACACAUAAUUAAAUGUUAAUUAAAAGAGAAAGUGAUGUUAUGAAGAAGGCAUCUAACCAUAUCAAACUAUUCUAACUGUAUAUAAAUAAAAACACACAAGUUUGGGGAAGUCGUGGCCUAGUGGUUAGAGAGUUUGACUCCUAACCCUAAGGCUGUGGGUUUGAGACUCGGGCCGGCAAUACCACGACUGAGGUGCCCUUGAGCAAGGCACCGAACCCCCAACUGCUCCCCGGGUGCCGCAGCAUAAAUGGUUGCCCACUGCUCUGGGUGUGUUCACGGUGUGUGUGUGUGUGUGUGUGUGUUCACUGCUGUGUGUGUGCACUUGGAUGGGUUAAAUGCAGAGCACGAAUUCUGAGUAUGGCUCCUGAGGCUGUAUGUCACGUCACUUUAAUUUUUUUUUUUUUUUCGUUUUAGUACAGGGUUAUCCAGAAAGAACUGAAUUGGUUGUGUUGUUAUGUGCCAUGCUAUUUGCCAAGAAAG